UGAAACCGUUUAGGGGUAAACCUGAGAAACCCGAAAGGUCGAAGGAAGAAAUUCAUUCGCGUCUCGAGAUGGAAGUCGAACGAUCGAGUGACGAAAAUGUUGUUUUGCGACAUUUUUUGCUCUCUUCGUUCGUCGAAUCUGUCGCGAACGCGUGCACUUUUCUUCUGGUAGGACGUCGCGAUUCGUCGGGUGUCGGUCUAAGACUCCAACGGUGGAGACCGUUCGUUAUUUUUCUCGAAACGACGAACGGACCCGUAUGUGUUCCGACCGACUCGCUCGACGGUAUACGAAUGGUUCGAGGUCGCUCUCUUCGUAGCGUCCGACUCGUCGCAAGCGCGUCGUAUGUCGUCGGUGAUCGGACCUAGUGCCGAUUCCGACCUCCGAUGACUGUUGGCGACGAAGUUCUCGGACAGACCUCGAAGUUUACUUUUACGAGACCGAUCGGCGACGCUAUAGCUUUGGGUACUUUCAGGACCCGUCUUGAAACACGGACCAAGGAGUCUAGCAUGUACGCGAGUCAUUGGGAAUCAUUAAACCUAAAGGCGUAAUGAAAGUGAAGGUUUUCCUCGCGAAGACCAAGGGAAGACGAGCGGUUAAAUUCGCCCUUAAAAGCGAUCGCUUCGCAUUCCCGGGGCGUCUCGUUCUCAAUCAUAUAUUAUAUAUGAUGCGAGAAGAGGCGCACCAAGAGCGUACACGCUGGGACCCGAAAGAUGGUGAACUAUGCCUGGUCAGGACGAA
Molecule: ribosomal RNA, 738 nt
Filed under: Sueus niisimai
Lineage: Eukaryota; Metazoa; Arthropoda; Insecta; Coleoptera; Curculionidae
Description: partial large subunit ribosomal RNA
Rfam family: Eukaryotic large subunit ribosomal RNA
Source: RNAcentral